CCUGUUUAGUUCAGAUUAGAGAAAUUUGUGUUAGUUUUGUACUUGACAACUUUCCCUCUUUAUAGCUCUUUUUGUUUCAUUUUCUCAUAUGAAAAAAUAAAUAAAUAAACAAGGACAAAAAUACGGUGCAUAGGUGGUAUAACAGGUACAGAUCGCACACUCUAAUUUUUGUUAGUUUUGUACUUAACAAUUUUUCCUUCUUUAUAGCUCUUUACAGUUUGAAGCUUCGGUUGAUGCUUAACAAGUACAUAAGGACGCUGUAAUAUUGCCGACAGGUUUUUUCAUCAUCUUUUUGAUGAAAAUGCCUACAUGUUUUUGGGGCUUUUGGAAAUGAUGGUACUUCAUGAGAACACUGUAAUUUUUGUUUGGUAGUUUUGUACUUAACAAUUUUCCCUUCUUCAUAGCUCUUUACAACAUGAAGCUUUGAUUGAUGCUUAACAAGUACAGAAGGACUCUGUAAUAUUGCCGACAGGUUUUUUCAUCAUCUUUUUUAUGAAAAUGCCUACAUGUUUCUAGUGCUUUUGGAAAUGGCGGUACUUCAUGAGAAUAUAUAUAUAGGCAUUACUGUAUCUAGGUUAACCUUCCACUUUAAAGCGAGGUUAAGUAAUUUCAUAGUGUUUAACCCAAAAUAAAGCGAGGUUAAGUAAUUUCAUAGUGUUUAACCCAAAAUAAAUAAAUAAGGAGAAAUCAAUUCACAGUGCAGG
This 704-nucleotide long non-coding RNA is filed under the name Malus domestica (apple). RNAcentral describes it as "long non-coding RNA (MDOM_LNC013638)". Lineage: Eukaryota; Viridiplantae; Streptophyta; Magnoliopsida; Rosales; Rosaceae. The record is from RNAcentral.